UAGACAUGCAAGUCGAACGAACCUUCGGGUUAGUGGCGGACGGGUGAGUAACACGUAAGAAUCUACCUUUAGGAAGGGGAUAACAAUUAGAGAUAAUUGCUAAUACCCUAUAUGCCGUUUGGUGAAAGAAGCAAUUCGCCUAAAGAGGAGCUUGCGUCUGAUUAGCUAGUUGGUAGGGUAAAGGCCUACCAAGGCGACGAUCAGUAGUUGGUCUGAGAGGAUGGCCAGCCACAUUGGAACUGAGACACGGUCCAGACUCC
This 260-nucleotide ribosomal RNA is filed under the name uncultured bacterium. RNAcentral describes it as "partial 16S ribosomal RNA". It matches the Rfam family "Bacterial small subunit ribosomal RNA", at positions 50 to 339 of the family's 1533-position model. The record is from RNAcentral.